ACGAACGCUGGCGGCAGGCCUAACACAUGCAAGUCGAGCGCGCCCUUCGGGGUGAGCGGCGGACGGGUGAGUAACGCGUGGGAACGUGCCCUUUUCUACGGAAUAGCCUCGGGAAACUGAGAGUAAUACCGUAUACGCCCUUUGGGGGAAAGAUUUAUCGGAAAAGGAUCGGCCCGCGUUGGAUUAGGUAGUUGGUGGGGUAAUGGCCUACCAAGCCGACGAUCCAUAGCUGGUUUGAGAGGAUGAUCAGCCACACUGGGACUGAGACACGGCCCAGACUCCUACGGGAGGCAGCAGUGGGGAAUCUUAGACAAUGGGGGCAACCCUGAUCUAGCCAUGCCGCGUGAGUGAUGAAGGCCUUAGGGUUGUAAAGCCCUUUCAGCUGGGAAGAUAAUGACGGUACCAGCAGAAGAAGCCCCGGCUAACUCCGUG
Molecule: ribosomal RNA, 432 nt
Filed under: uncultured bacterium
Lineage: Bacteria
Description: partial 16S ribosomal RNA
Rfam family: Bacterial small subunit ribosomal RNA
Source: RNAcentral